ACGAACGCUGGCGGCGGGCUUAACACAUGCAAGUCGAACGGAAAGGCCCUGCUUUUGUGGGGUGCUCGAGUGGCGAACGGGGGAGUAACACGUGAGUAACCUGCCCUUGACUUUGGGAUAACUUCAGGAAACUGGGGCUAAUACCGGAUAGGAGCUCCUGCUGCAUGGUGGGGGUUGGAAAGUUUCGGCGGUUGGGGAUGGACUCGAGGCUUAUCAGCUUGUUGGUGGGGGAGGGGCUUACCAAGGCUUUGACGGGUAGCCGGCCUGAGAGGGUGACCGGCCACAUUGGGACUGCGAUACGGCCCAGACUCCUACGGGAGGCAGCAGUGGGGAAUAUUGCACAAUGGGCGGAAGCCUGAUGCAGCAACGCCGCGUGCGGGAUGACGGCCUUCGGGUUGUAAACCGCUUUCGCCUGUGACGAAGCGUGAGUGACGGUAAUGGGUAAAGAAGCACCGGCUAACUACGUG
Molecule: ribosomal RNA, 467 nt
Filed under: uncultured bacterium
Lineage: Bacteria
Description: partial 16S ribosomal RNA
Rfam family: Bacterial small subunit ribosomal RNA
Source: RNAcentral